Long non-coding RNA from Passer montanus (Eurasian tree sparrow), 3463 nucleotides. RefSeq lists it as uncharacterized. The record is from RefSeq and is a predicted model, not a curated record. Lineage: Eukaryota; Metazoa; Chordata; Aves; Passeriformes; Passeridae. The transcript is spliced from 4 exons.
CAGCCAAGUCUGUUUAAGGUGUAAUUCCUCAGGAAGAGAUUGUGGCCAUUUAAACGAGUUAACGGAGCCGUUCAAGGCCGUGUGUGCUUUUCCAAACCAGGCACAAACCGCAGCUCAGGCGGGCGCCCGGGGUUGCUGUCGGCCGAGUCGCCUCAGCCCCGCAGGUCUGUCACCUCUGGCUCCCGCCCAUGUCACAUCCCUGUCCUCCGGGUGGAAACUGCGGAAGAAAGUGCAGGAUGCGCCUUGGUUUCGCUGACACCGCUCCCGCCGCGCUGGCUCCCGCACUGAAUCCUGGUAAAAUGCAGUAAAGGAUUUAAGGUUAUCGUCUGUCUCUCUCUAACUUCUGACAUCUCUUUAUAACAAGAAAGAGUCACAGCCAACUGUAACAGGAGGGCAACACAAUGAAUCCUGAGUCAAGGCCUUUUCUGUUCCUCACACCCUUCCACCAGCGAUGAGGCUGAAGGUGCACGAAAAGUUGAGAGGACAACAGCUGGGGCAGCUGACCCCAAGUGACCAAAGGGAUAUUCCCUGCCAUAUGGCAUCAUGCUCUCUGUAUGAAAUAGAGAUGGAAGUUGGCUGGGGACUGCAGCUCGAGGAACGACUGGGCAUUGUUUUGGUGGUGGUUAAUAUUUUCAUCCUAGUCCUGGUUCAUAUGCAUGUAGGCUUUGGGCUCCUCUGCUCUGUACCCGUUUAUCACCCUUUUCAAAGGGAAGAAGGAAACUCUUGCUACGGGUGCAGAACUUAGAAGAGAUCUGUGCCGAAUAAGAGCGAGAACGCAGCUGCACAAGACUCAGCAUACUUCUCACAGACAAAAUGCAGUGAAGGAAAAGAUGACACUUUAAACUAAAUGAGAGAUCAUUAUACAACACUCUUUCCAUUCAGCUCGUUCUAGGGGGAAUAUAUACAUGUGGCAGCAGCACUCAGGACAUGAAGAGCUACUUUGAAAGUUGAUGCGUUUCCCAGUGUUUGAGAUGAAGAUGGAAAGUAGAGAGUGAGAAAAUUGGCUGUCCCUGCAGAGGUGCCCCCCAGCCACAAUAAUACUUGUGAAGCCGUCAUACUUUUCUACCCUGAACAAGAAAGCAGCCUGGACUGGUUCAGAGCAAACGCAGAUUGUAGGAAGCAUUUCAGACUGAUGUUCUUCCCUGGUGAGGGAGUUUUCCAGGGGCCUGGCAGAGCCAGCUGGCAGCAUGAACAGCUCAAGCUACAGCAAGGAGACCCAAGCAGAACUACACAAAUUUGUCCAUAUUCCCUUGUGCUGUGCUGAAUUGGGAAGGCAUGCAAGGGAGACCUGAAAACCUUAAGGCAAAGGACUGCUCUGUGGGCUGUUUGGCCACACAAACAGAGGUACAUACACAGAGUGGUAAAUGGGAGCUCGUGCAGGGCUCGUGCUGUACUGGGAGAGCUAACUGGGCUGUGAAAGUAAGCUUUACCCUUUCAAACAGACCAAGGUAAAUGACAGAGGGAGCAUUACACAGGCAGUUGGGUUCUUUACACUCAGCCUCAUGUUCUCAGAGUGUUUUGCUCACUGCACUGCCUUGUGAAAUCAGCAGUAAAAGCCUGUGACCAGAGGGAAAGUGGUAAGCCAGUGGUAGCACUAGUGGUAGCACUGAUUAAAACAGCAGCACGCAAACACACUGACCUCUUCCUGAGUGGUAACCUUCAGUGAGAACUAAUUCACUGGAUUGAUUUUAUUCAGCUUGUCCAUGAGAAAAUAGAGCACAGCAGCAUUGACUGCAACUGGCAAAAAGUGCUUGUGAGCUUCAGGAUUCAGCUUCUAGGUUCUUGAAGAUGUUGGUCAUGUUAUGAUGUGCUAUUACACUCUAUGUCUUCUGUUUGGCAAAAAUGUACUGGCAGAAGAAUAUAAAUUAAUCUAAUUUCUUUUUGUUAGUCCAGUUAAUGUUUUAAACAGUUUAAUAGUCAAAAUUACUUAAUGAAUAUAGGAAGACCUCAUUAAAAAUAGAGUUAGACUUGCUACGCUAAAAAUUCCCUCUUCUCUGGUGUUGCAUUUACUCCCCCAGUUCUCCUUUGGGUCUUAAUAUUGGUAUUCCUCAAAAGAUAUGCAGGAGUAUUAUGAUGAAUUAUCAUCAGGAUUCGUGUGAUACUCAUGGGAGAAGGAUGUCUUUCUUCUGAGCCUGGUAUCUGUUCAGAUUUAGUUUUAUAUGUUUUCUUAACACUAUAAUCUAUGAUUAAAUGGCUGAUUUGUCUGCAUUGUCAAAUAUGUCUGCAUUCUUCCCCACAGCUGACUCUAGAAUUGUAGGCAGUUCAGUUCACAAUGAAUAACUAUUUGUUAUUAUCCUAAACUAAAGUUAAACUAAAACAAAUCUAGUCAAGAGUGCCUCUUGACCGCUGGACAAUUGCUAUCACAGCUAAACCAAGUUAAAAUCUUUUGAGGCCCAGAAAAAGCCAGGGCAUUGCUGAGUCCCUACACUGUCACCUCGAUACAAACCCUGUUGCUUUUUACCAGUAAUGGCAAAAUCACAUUUAUUGGGCUAUAAAGUCACUUUGAAUAGUCUGUGAAAUGCAGAGCAAGGAUUUGCAAACCCUGCUAUGACUGCAGAGUCAUGACUGAACAGCAGAUCUUGGAAACAUUCACACUUUCCUAACUUCUCUUGAAUUAGAGUAAUUCAAAGUCUGAUUGACUUGUAAUUCUUCAUUGCCAACAGGAGGCCAGCUAACAAAAAGUAUUUGAUUUUCAUUGCCAAUAUAAUUUUCCCAAUCAGCAGGAAUACUGUGAUUAUUAAACUGAGAGCUAUAGUUUGUAGUGCUAAGUUAAAAAUUCUUUUAGCUGCAGGAGACCAUAGUGUAACCUGAUAAAGGUAUAGGCUAAUUAAGAAACAUGCUUGAACCUAAGAUACAUCAGACAUACAGACACACAGACAGGCACUAGUGGGCAGGUUUUACAUGAGGUAGUUCACAACAAUUUCUGAAGUUGGGUCUCUACACAAACACAACUAGAUCUCAUAUCCAUGAUUUGAGAUUGAUUAGAAACAGAGUUAGAGAUGUCAUAGUCACACCUAUUUAAAUUUUGAGCUAAGUAAUCAUCUGAAGACUGGAAACUAAUAUCUUCACAUCUCUACUAAAUAUUUCAAUGUUAUUUGUCAGCAUUCUUCUGAAAAGACUCAAUAUUCCAUUUUCUUUGGCAGACUGUGUUCUCAGAUGCACACCUUUAAUAACUGAAGCACUUGUUACACGUUUCCAAAAUUAUCUGAUCAGCUUCCUACAAACAAGAACUUUUCUAUCAAUUUGAUACAUGACUGUGUAUUUUACAUAUAUGCAGUUUUUACCAUGUACAAGUUUUAAGAUUCUUUAAAGUACCUCCCAUACAAUUUUACAUAAAUGGUACAUUUAUUUUGAAAAUGUGAUUUUUCAGUGGUAAGAAAAAAUAACUUAUUGGUCCAUCUUUUCUUUUAUGUUUUAAAAGAACUCAGAGUUUCAGCUGUACUUGUAAAUACAUGUAUUUUUU